This 497-nucleotide ribosomal RNA is filed under the name uncultured bacterium. RNAcentral describes it as "partial 16S ribosomal RNA". It matches the Rfam family "Bacterial small subunit ribosomal RNA", at positions 28 to 507 of the family's 1533-position model. The record is from RNAcentral.
GACGAACGCUGGCGGCGUGCCUAAUACAUGCAAGUAGAACGCUGAAGAGAGGAGCUUACUCUUCUUGGAUGAGUUGCGAACGGGUAAGUAACGCGUAGGUAACCUGCCUUGUAGCGGGGGAUAACUAUUGGAAACGAUAGCUAAUACCGCAUAACAAUGGAUGACACAUGUCAUUUAUUUGAAAGGGGCAAUUGCUCCACUACAAGAUGGACCUGCGUUGUAUUAGCUAGUAGGUGAGGUAAUGGCUCACCUAGGCGACGAUACAUAGCCGACCUGAGAGGGUGAUCGUCCAACCUGUGACUGCGACACGCCCCAGACUCCUACUGGAGGCAGCAGUAGUGUAUCUUCGUCAAUGGGCGCAACCCUGACCGAGCAACGCCGCGUGGGUUAAGAAGGUUUUCGGAUCGUAAAGCUCUGUUGUAAGUCAAGAACGGGUGUGAGAGUGGAAAGUUCACACUGUGACGGUAGCCUAUCAGAAAGGCACGGCUAACUACGUG